Gadus macrocephalus (Pacific cod) is the source of this 1916-nucleotide long non-coding RNA. RefSeq lists it as uncharacterized. NCBI's taxonomy places the organism in Eukaryota, Metazoa, Chordata, Actinopteri, Gadiformes, Gadidae. The transcript is spliced from 2 exons. The record is from RefSeq and is a predicted model, not a curated record.
CCGGUAACAACAGAAGUAUGAUGCCUAAUAUUGAAAUGCAGAUUUUUAAUAUUAAGAUAUUUUGAUAAAUGUUCAAAUUUAAGUUUUGUAUGUUUGUAUUUUCCCAUGUGGUCUUGUCACCCUGUUAUUCUGCAGGGUCGUUCAAAAUCCUUUGAGGUUAGUGGAAAUCAGUUCUCACUCUGUUCCUUUGUUAUCUUGUGUUGGUUUGGGCCUGUUAUCCUUGAUCCCCAGGAAAGCGCAGAGACGCAAGUGAUAAGGAACGGCCAGCCCCAUAUUUAUGACAUCUUAAGGAAUGAUGACUUAGAUGACCAUGUGGUUAACAAAGGCUUUUGGUUUGUUGUGAGGCAGCUGUCCUCAGCAACACUUCUGAAGGUGUAAGAACUCCUGGCCACUCAGCGGACCUUUCUGCGGACCCUUUAGAAAAUGAAGGGCUCCGCAGGAAGAAAUCCCAUCUGAAGUCUCAAAUUGUUGAAUAAUAUGCUUAUUUUUAGGUCUGUUGAUGCAUGUUAUGAUUAUUCUUCGUUCGUGCUUUUCUUAAGAAUGUGUAUAUAGAGAUAAAAUGAAAAUAAAAAUCAGUAAAAAUAUAAAAUGAAAACAAAUGGUGGAUUCAUAUACCAUGUGUGAAUGUCCUCUUGUGUGUGUCAGAGCCACCAAAAUAAUGGAGGUUACUCGACUGAUACAUACACGAGGGGAUAUUGAAAGCAUACCACAUAAAAAACUAAGAUAAUUAGAAAAUGGUUCAUUAUAAUUAACUUUCAAUAACUUUGCUUUAUCCAAUAACUUCUGAAUUUUUCUUUUAGGUUCAGUUUUUGUUUUGUUUAUAGAAUAUCACCAUAUAUUUAAUACCCAGAUGUGCAUAAUUGUUGUAGGUUUGGAUGACUCUUUGUUCUGCCUAGUUUAGACGGUUUUGAUUGACCUAGCUCAAGAUUCACCGGGUGUCAGACGUAGGAUUGUGGCACUUCCUGGGAGCCUCCGAGCCACACGUUAAUCGACUAAUCGUUCCUGCAGUGUUCUGAGGUGGUAACGAUGGGGCUCAUGGGGAGGCCCCGGGAGAGUUGUCUCCCGGGCUCACACGGGGAGAAAUCGGGUAGGUCGGUAAGUCAGAAGGUUGAAUUAAUGUAUCGAUUUGAUGUUGACCAACAAAAAACUAGAUAAUUAUAAUAAUAAAUACUGUUCAUGAAAUGGUAUAGUUAGGUCUGGGACCUGCGUAGCUAAAAAAACUGUUUUUGAAAUAGUAAUGAACGUGUCCGGGACAUGUGUAGCUAUAAAAUAAGUAAAGAUAAAACUGGGUUUUACUUUACUUCACUUUGCUAAGACAUAUUCACGUUUGAUGUGGUAUGCAGAAAGUGGCGCAAUAGGAUGUUGUGCAGAAAAUAAGGCGUAUUCACGUUUGAUGUGGUAUGCGAUGUACAUAGGAGUGAAUCAAAGUGUGGACAACAUCAAAUGCGAGCAAUAGGUAGAAUAAAUGAAGAUUAGGUCAUCCAAUAUACAUAGUUAGUGUAGGACAAUCGGGUAGUAUGAUGAAGGUAACUGUUAUUAUGAGAUACGGUUAACACAGAAGUGAUAUUGAACAUGCAAAUUUUAACAUUGUUAUUUCCCUUUUACAUCUUUUUGGUUAUAGCAACUUGGUUGCACUACGGUGUUGUUAGCUUUGGUUGUCAUUCAAUGCGCAUGGCUGAAGCGAUGCGCAAGGAGGGAUGUAGUGUGAAAUUAAAUCAAAGUAGAUACUGUAAAACAAUUAAAAUUAGAAUUCAUGGAAAUAUGUUUUUGAACAACUAACUGUUGUACAUGAGUUUGUAUUUCUGCAAUAGAAACAAAAGUUGUAUUCCCAGAUCACAGACCAGAAGCCGUCCGAUCCAGAGGAUCCUUCACCAACGUCAGUGACACCUGGCGAGUGGAUCUGGGUGAAAAAACAC